AAAUCACAAUGCGGGACUAUCAGUCUUGCAAUUGGAUUGAGAACAAUGUACAACUCUUAUCGAUAAGCCAUUGGAGGGCAAGUCUGGUGCCAGCAGCCGCGGUAAUUCCAGCUCCAAUAGCGUAUAUUAACGUUGUUGCAGUUAAAAAGCUCGUAGUUGAAGUGUGGGUGAUGCUGUCUGAAAGACUUCGGUUACUCAAAUGAUCACUACCCCCUUCCAGUAUCCAAUAGUGGGUAUUCAGUUACUUACUAUUGUGUGUUGGUCGUUUACUGUGAGAAAAUUAGAGUGUUCAAAGCAGGCGUUUGCUUGAAUAGAUUAGCAUGGAAUAAUAAUUGAAGGCUUUCGUGUUCGAUUUGAUUGGUUUGUUCAUGGAAGCAAGGUUAAAAGGAACAGUUGGGGGUAUUCAUAUUCACUAGUUAGAGGUGAAAUUCUCGGAUUUAUGGAAGAUGAA
Molecule: ribosomal RNA, 451 nt
Filed under: Blastocystis sp.
Lineage: Eukaryota; Bigyra; Opalinata; Blastocystidae
Description: SSU rRNA
Rfam family: Eukaryotic small subunit ribosomal RNA
Source: RNAcentral